Molecule: unclassified non-coding RNA, 3911 nt
Filed under: Leishmania donovani
Lineage: Eukaryota; Euglenozoa; Kinetoplastea; Trypanosomatida; Trypanosomatidae
Description: gene:LdHU3.33.3880(CDS-product:enoyl-CoA_hydratas e/Enoyl-CoA_isomerase/3-_hydroxyacyl-CoA_dehydrogenase_puta tive)
Source: RNAcentral
CUUGCACUGCCUUUGCUGCACCCAGCUGCACUACAGUUCGCAGUAGCGUUAUAACCGACUCCAUUGCCCCUUUCUCCAGGUCCUUACUCCCUCGCCUCCGUCCAUCGUCGGAGCUCCUUAUCCCCGCCUUUGUGUUUGUCUUGACGCACUCGUGGGGCACCCCUCCCGUAACAGCUACCCACAUAAUGAAGCGCAUAGAGACCGUUUCGAAACACCUGCAGGACAAUGAGUUUGUCCGCGUCGAACGACGCGGUGGGGUCGGGCUGAUCCGCAUGUUGAGUUCGGCGCCGCCGCGCUCGCACAUCGGCGGCUGCAUACUAUGUGCUCCAAUGCGAGCGCAGGUCUUGCGCGCCCUCAAGACGCUAGAAGCCGACGCCGACUGUCGUCUCAUUGUGCUCACCUCAACCAGUCACCGUUUUUUCUCCAGCGGCAUCGAUAUCGCCAACUUCACGGAGUGCUUCAUCUCCGACCCUACCGCGCAGCCGCCUGUGCCAUCCUUGUCGGAGCUGACAGCCGCGGUCGCCAUGUGCCCCAAGGUGUGUGUAGCAGUUAUUCAGGGUCUGUGCUCGUCAUGGGGGCUCGAGCUUGCUCUGGCGGCCGACUACCGCAUCUGCGAGGUGAACGCACACUUCCGCUUCCCGGAGGUGCGGUUUGGCAUCACCCCCGGCGGCGGCGGUGCACAGCGGCUCGUAUGCCUCGUUGGCGUGCCGCACGCGCUGAACAUGCUGUGCUACGGCCGCCGAGUGUACGCAAAGGAAGCGCACCAGAUCGGCCUCGUUGACGCACCAGCGUACAGCGCCCCACACUUUUGGACGGCGUUGGGAGGGUUCCUCGAGAAGCACGUCACCGCGGCCACUCCCGGCACGCCAGGCGGCCACGGCGAAAAGGCGACCGGCCUGAGCACGCUGGAGGAAGCGCGGGCGGCAAAAGCGGUCGCCGUGCACCGCCGUCGCAGCUGCCCGGCGUACGCGAAGCACUCCCUCUUUAACCGCGGCUGGUACGCGUGGAUGGAGCACAAGCUGCGCGAAUCUGUGCCGCGCGAGGUUCGGGCUCCGUACCGCGCGAUCGAGGCGGUGAAGCUGGCCGUCACGCACAGCUGCCGUUUCGACAGACGCCGGAGCGUUCCGAGCUCGAACGGUGCCGAGCAAAACGACGCCGCGGCUGCAUACACGGCGGCGGAGCGGGCGCUGUUCGAGUCUUGUCUUCUUCUGCCUGAGACGCAGGCAAUGCAGCACCUGAUGCGUGCGUCGCAACGGACAUCGAUGUCGUGGGAGAGGAAAUGGAUCAGCCAGCAGCGCCCGGUGCCAGGACUGGCGAUUAUCAACGAUCGCAGUUCGGCAGUGCAUGUCGCGGUGAGCCCUCCCGUCUCGGCGGCCUCCGUGUCCGACCUCCAUACAGACGACGGCACGGCGCGACUGGGACUGAAGAAGGUGGCUGUCAUUGGUGCCGGCACCAUGGGAACGUCGAUUGCACUCAUGCUGCUGCGGCAGUCGGAGAUCGAGGUCAUCUUGGUGGAGGCGGACGCUCAGCGGCAGGCAGUAGCCCGCCAUGCCAUCGAAGACUACCUGCGCAGCCGUGUCGAGGCACACCGAUUAUCAAAACACCGCUUCGACGACAUGCUGCACCGACUGCGCGUGACGGGCAGCUGCAUAGCCCCGUUCCCUCCUGUCCUUGCGGAUGCUGAUCUCGUCUUCGAGUGUGCGCCGGAGGUUGCGGCGAUCAAGCAGAACAUCCUCGCCGGCCUCGACUCUGUCUGCAAGCGCUCCACGAUCCUUGCAACGGGCUCAUCGGCGCAGGACGUGAAUGAGCUCGCAGCCGUGACGCAGCGCCCUGGUCAGGUGCUCGGCAUACACUUCUUCCCCCCCGCAAACGAGUCCCCGCUGGUGGAGGUGAUCCGUGGCGCUGCGACGGAGGGGUGGGUCGUGGAGCGCGUGAUGCACCUGUUGUGCCAACUUGACAAGUACCCGAUUCUAUCUGUUAGUCGUCACGGCUACGUUGGGACUCGGCUGCUGCUCACCGCCCUCUACCAAGCGUACGCAAUGCUGGAGGACGGCUGCUUCCCGCUACAGAUCGACAGUGUGCUGCGCAAGGAUUUCCACUUCACUCGUGGCCUCUUUGAACUGGAGGACAUCAUGGGCCUUGAUGUGAUCGCCAUGGCGCGCGCCUCGAUGAUGGCAGUGGCAGCUCGCGCGAGCGGCAGCUCGGUACCGACGCCCAAGAGGGUAGGCAUUGAGCCGAGCGUGCCAAGCGCCUUUGAGCUCAGCAACGCGUGGUGCCCUCCGAGUCGGCCUGUCUUUGACAUCCCAAACGCUCUCGUUGCUGCUGGCGCCCUAGGCCGCAAAACGCGAGAAGGUUGGUACAAGUAUUUGACACCGCAGGAGGCAAGUCUGGGGUAUCGCCUGCGCCACCCUAUCGCCUCCUGGCUGUGGACCGGAUCUGCGCCAAACCGCCUGGGCACCGGCAAUACCGCCAAGGACGGAUCUGCUGCAGGCGCCACCACCGCUGCAGGCUGCGCGUCCAUGUUGUUGGACGCUUCCACGACACCGUUGGUGGCAGCUUCGAGCGCGGCGUCGCGCGAGCGAUACCCACUGGUCAGCUUGUCAUCUCUUAUUCGGCAGCAUAACUACUCCAUCGAGUACCGCACAAUUGACUGCAGCAAGCGGCGUCGCGUGACUCGCCGGCCAUUCUGCGAGGAGGAGAUCUUUGAGCGCAUCGUGUUCGCCAUGAUAAACGAGGCGGCCAAAAUCAUGGCAGACGGCAUCGUUACCAACGCGGCUGACAUUGACUGCAUCUCUGUCUACGGGUUUGGCUUCCCGGCGUGGAAGGGCGGGCUGUGCUACUACGCGGAUCAUGUGGCGGGGAUCGACAAGGUCGUACGCAAGAUGCAGGUGUACCAGCGCGCGCUCGGCUCGGAGGAGUUUCCGGCGCCGUGUUUGGCGUUAAGGGAGAUGCAGGUGAAGGGCAUGACGUUUGCCUCCAUGUUCAAGUAAGCGACGGCACGAGGCUUGCGAGAAGGGCUGGCAGCCGCUUGUUCUGAAAACAGCAGUACUGCGGGAGCGCAAAGCGAAAACAUUUUCCUACGAGCGUGCGCGAGCGCCCGGCAACCUUCUCGCCCCUCCCUCCCUCCGUCUUCUUUCCUCGCUACCGUUCGAGCAGCCACCUCAUGCGAAGCGGAAUCUUACAGAAGAUGUGCGCAGGUCUGCGCAUCCUUUCAGUGCCAAAACUGCUCAAACUGCUGCCUUGCGGUUCGCGUUUGUGUAUGUGCACGGACGGCACGCGGCGCUCUGGAAUGGGAGAGAAGAAGGGUGCCCAGCUAAGGCGAGACGCCUGACUGCGCUCGUGUUUCCUUGCGCUCUGUGGCGUAUCUCACUAGGGCAUGUUGAGAAUGCGUGCACAAGAGCCACAAAGGCACUGAGACAGGGGCGGAGAGGGGCAGCACAUCGACAGAGAUCAACAAGGAAGAUGGCGUGUGCGAGCCGGGAGAAUCUGAACAGCAAGCAUACCGAAAAAGAAAAUGAGAGAGAGGGCCGGUGGAGGGGCGGGAGCGGGGAGGCGCGCGCGCAAACCUCUUCAUAGACAUGGCACGCACAUCUGGGAGAGAGGGACAGUGGAGAAGGGCUGGGAAGUAAAACGCGCCUCGGCCCAGGAGUCGUUUCGAUGAGCUGGCAAAGGAGGGGAGAGGCAGCGAACAUGAAAGGCCCGCGCUCAUGUCGUCUUUGCGGCGACAGCUUCCAGACAUGUGCAGCCUUCUCACCACAUGCGAACGGCUGCUCAUCACAUAUUUUUUUUUUACUGUGCGGAUUCAUAUCUCCAGGUUGCAUGUGUAGGCGCGAAAAACUGGAGACCCAUGUCGGCGGGUGAGAUGAAGGGUGCACUCAUAUCGCACCAGGGCUUUCGCGAUUACUUUUCUC